UCGAGAAUCUUCGGCAAUGGGCGCAAGCCUGACCGAGCGACGCCGCGUGCGGGAUGAAGGUCUUCGGAUUGUAAACCGCUGUCGGGGGGAUGCAGAGCCCCAGAGGAAGCACGGGCUAAGUUCGUGCCAGCAGCCGCGGUAAUACGAACUGUGCGAACGUUAUUCGGAAUCACUAGGCUUAAAGGGUGCGUAGGCGGCGUGUUAAGUCAGGUGUGAAAUCCCCCGGCUCAACCGGGGAACAGCGCUUGAAACUAGCAUGCUGGAGCGAGGUAGGGGUGUGUGGAACUUCCGGUGGAGCGGUGAAAUGUGUAGAUAUCGGAAGGAACGCCGGUGGCGAAAGCGACACACUGGGCCUUGUCUGACGCUGAGGCACGAAAGCUA
RNAcentral lists this ribosomal RNA (381 nucleotides) under uncultured bacterium. RNAcentral describes it as "bacterial SSU rRNA". It matches the Rfam family "Bacterial small subunit ribosomal RNA", at positions 355 to 762 of the family's 1533-position model. The record is from RNAcentral.